AAAUGGGGACAAAAUAUUUACAAAAAACACUAAAUACACAACUGAUGGAUCAUAUCAUGAAAGUGAUGCCUCAACUUAGUCAAAAAAUCUCAGAACAACUAACAGAAUUGGAGUCUCAAGUGCGAGACAUAAAAAGCAGAGGAGGGGUUAUGUCCCAUAAAUUAAUGAUGAAAUCAGUCGGAGCUUUUACAUCUCUACUACAACACGAUAUAGUAUCAGCGAAUACAGUUGCUCAAAUAUCUUCCCAAAAGUUAUCGACUGGUGCUAAAAUAAAUCGUUGUUUCUUUAAACAUUUUCCACAAUUAUCCCGAAAGCAAUCGGAAGAACGAAAUAAGGAUAUUCUAACAAAUAUUCGAGUUGCUAUUCAGAACGUUCAUGGAGUCAA
Long non-coding RNA from Octopus sinensis (East Asian common octopus), 385 nucleotides. RefSeq lists it as uncharacterized. The record is from RefSeq and is a predicted model, not a curated record. The transcript is spliced from 3 exons. NCBI's taxonomy places the organism in Eukaryota, Metazoa, Mollusca, Cephalopoda, Octopoda, Octopodidae.